UACGUAAGGGGUGCAGCGUUGUUCGGAAUCACUGGGCGUAAAGCGCGCGUAGGCGGAUUGUUAAGUCAGGGGUGAAAUGCCGAGGCUCAACCUCGGAACUGCCUUUGAUACUGGCAAUCUUGAGUCCGGGAGAGGUGAGUGGAACUCCUAGUGUAGAGGUGAAAUUCGUAGAUAUUAGGAAGAACACCAGUGGCGAAGGCGGCUCACUGGCCCGGAACUGACGCUGAUGUGCGAAAAGCGUGGGGGAGCAAACAGGG
This 257-nucleotide ribosomal RNA is filed under the name uncultured bacterium. RNAcentral describes it as "partial 16S ribosomal RNA". It matches the Rfam family "Bacterial small subunit ribosomal RNA", at positions 524 to 777 of the family's 1533-position model. The record is from RNAcentral.